GGAUGAGAGGGCAAUUGGCUGCCAUAUUUGUCACCCCAUUGAUUUCCAGUGUUGAUUCAGCUGAUCUGGCUGGCUAGGUGAGUGUCCCCUUCCUCCCUCACCAUUCCAUGUGCAUCCCUAUCAAAGCCAUGCAUUCAGCCAAAGAGGACAUCCAUGCCCAAUGGAGGAGGACUGUUCUUCAGUCAAUGGUAUAUGAGUAGCUAUUAUCCUCUGCUAGAAAAUCCAAACAAGCUCUCAGGAAUCAAACAGAAACUGAGAAACUAAAAGUUCCUAAGUCAAAUAAAAAUUAGUGUUGAAAACCAC
This 303-nucleotide small nuclear RNA is filed under the name Castor canadensis (American beaver). RNAcentral describes it as "7SK RNA (ENSCCNG00000013322.1)". It matches the Rfam family "7SK RNA". From Rfam's summary of the family: 7SK was discovered as an abundant small nuclear RNA in the mid-70s but a possible function has only recently been suggested. Two independent studies have found that 7SK RNA binds the CDK9/cyclin T complex (known as elongation factor P-TEFb). Lineage: Eukaryota; Metazoa; Chordata; Mammalia; Rodentia; Castoridae. The record is from Rfam by way of RNAcentral.